RNAcentral lists this ribosomal RNA (253 nucleotides) under uncultured bacterium. RNAcentral describes it as "partial 16S ribosomal RNA". It matches the Rfam family "Bacterial small subunit ribosomal RNA", at positions 524 to 776 of the family's 1533-position model. The record is from RNAcentral.
UACAGAGGUCCCGAGCGUUGUUCGGAUUCAUUGGGCGUAAAGGGUGUGUAGGAGGUUGGGUUAGUCAGACGUGAAAUCUCACCGCUUAACGGUGAAACUGCGUUUGAUACUGCCCGACUAGAGGAUCGGAGGGGGAAGCGGAAUUCUUGGUGUAGCAGUGAAAUGCGUAGAUAUCAAGAGGAACACCGGUGGCGAAGGCGGCUUCCUGGAAGAUUCCUGACUCUGAAACACGAAAGCUAGGGGAGCAAACGGG